Molecule: transfer RNA, 74 nt
Filed under: Planctomycetaceae bacterium
Lineage: Bacteria; Pseudomonadati; Planctomycetota; Planctomycetia; Planctomycetales; Planctomycetaceae
Description: tRNA-Leu
Rfam family: tRNA
About the family: Transfer RNA (tRNA) molecules are approximately 80 nucleotides in length.
Source: RNAcentral
GGCAUCGUAGCCCAACUGGCAGAGGCGCCUGGUUCAGGACCAGGAGGUUGGGAGUUCGAAUCUCCCCGGUGCUA